AUUUUGUAAUGUUUCAUACUUGGACAAUUUGAUUGAAUGUUUGAAUUGCUACAUAACAUCUUUUGUUUAGUUUUAUUGAAAAGAAAUUUCAGAUUUGUCAUUCACAAUCAUUGUUAAAAUCUGAAAGCUAAAUAAAAUUGUAGAAAGAAGAAGAGAAGAACAUCUCUAUUUAGGAAAAAUAAACUGAUAUUGAUCUAUCUUUCUACUUGCCUAACUUUGAUACAUAAUGUCCUAAUACUUGUUAAAAUAUCCUUUAUUUUGUAUCGAAACUCAAAAUUAAACACAAAGAUUCUGAAAGUGCUUUAAUGUUAUUAAAAUAUGUAUUUUUCAAUCGUAACAAUUUAAGAUGAGCUACAUUGUGAAAGAUACAUAUCUCAUAUUAUAACUUAGAAAGCUUCUAUUGAAAAUUCUAUGUAAUUCAGAAUCCGAUUUUGUAUAAAAGUUUAAACUCCAUAUGAU
RNAcentral lists this long non-coding RNA (459 nucleotides) under Phoenix dactylifera (date palm). RNAcentral's name for it is "long non-coding RNA (PDAC_LNC008862)". The record is from RNAcentral. Lineage: Eukaryota; Viridiplantae; Streptophyta; Magnoliopsida; Arecales; Arecaceae.